RNAcentral lists this ribosomal RNA (494 nucleotides) under uncultured bacterium. RNAcentral describes it as "partial 16S ribosomal RNA". It matches the Rfam family "Bacterial small subunit ribosomal RNA", at positions 28 to 507 of the family's 1533-position model. The record is from RNAcentral.
GACGAACGCUGGCGGCGUGCUUAACACAUGCAAGUCGAACGGUGAAGCGCCUUCCUUUUUGGUGGGUGUGGAUGAGUGGCGAACGGGUGAGUAACACGUGAGUAACCUGCCCCCUUCUUCUGGAUAACCGCAUGAAAGUGUGGCUAAUACGGGAUAUUCUGGGUCUGUCGCAUGAUGGGUCUGGGAAAGAUAUUGUUUCGGUGGGGGAUGGGCUCGCGGCCUAUCAGCUUGGUGGUGGGGUGGUGGCCUACCAAGGCGGUGACGGGUAGGCGGGCUGGGAGGGUGGGAGGUCACACUGGGAAUGAAGCACCGCCCAGACUACGUCGGGAAGCAGCAGGGGGGAAUUGUGGAACAUGGGAGGAAGGCUGAAGCCACGACGCCGCGGUGAGGAAGGAGGCCUUCGGGUUGGGAACCUCUUUCGGCAAGGAAGGCGGGCUGGCUCGUUUUUUGGUGGGUUGACGGUAGCUGGAGAAGAAGCGCCGGCUAACUACGUG